AUUGAACGCUGGCGGCAGGCUUAACACAUGCAAGUCGAGCGGGGUGAUGGUGCUUGCACUAUCACUUAGCGGCGGACGGGUGAGUAAUGCUUAGGAAUCUGCCUAUUAGUGGGGGACAACAUCUCGAAAGGGAUGCUAAUACCGCAUACGUCCUACGGGAGAAAGCAGGGGAUCACUUGUGACCUUGCGCUAAUAGAUGAGCCUAAGUCGGAUUAGCUAGUUGGUGGGGUAAAGGCCUACCAAGGCGACGAUCUGUAGCGGGUCUGAGAGGAUGAUGCGCCGCACUGUGACUGUGACACAGGCCAGACUCCUACGGGGGGCGGAGAUGGGGAAUAUUGGGCAAUGGGGGGAACCCUGAUCCAGCCAUGCGGCGUGUGUGAAGAAGGCCUUAUGGUUGUAAAGCACUUUAAGCGAGGAGGAGGCUCUUUUGGUUAAUACCCAAGAUGAGUGGACGUUACUCGCAGAAUAAGCACCGGCUAACUCUGUGCCAGCAGCCGCAGUAA
This 503-nucleotide ribosomal RNA is filed under the name uncultured bacterium. RNAcentral describes it as "partial 16S ribosomal RNA". It matches the Rfam family "Bacterial small subunit ribosomal RNA", at positions 30 to 523 of the family's 1533-position model. The record is from RNAcentral.